Molecule: ribosomal RNA, 758 nt
Filed under: uncultured bacterium
Lineage: Bacteria
Description: bacterial SSU rRNA
Rfam family: Bacterial small subunit ribosomal RNA
Source: RNAcentral
AGAGUUUGAUCAUGGCUCAGGAUAAACGCUGGCGGCGUGCUUCAGGCAUGCAAGUCGAACGGACACUACGGUGUCAGUGGCGGACGGGUGAGUAACACGUAAGUAACCUGCCCAGAAGUGGGGAAUAACUAGCCGAAAGGCUGGCUAAUACCGCAUGUGAUGGUCCUUCUCUGGAGGGAUCAUGAAAGGCGAAAGUCGCUUCUGGAGGGGCUUGCGGUCGAUUAGCUUGUUGGUGGGGUAAUGGCCUACCAAGGCUGCGAUCGAUAGCUGGUCUGAGAGGACGGUCAGCCACACGGGGACUGAGAUACGGCCCCGACUCCUACGGGAGGCAGCAGCUAGGAAUCUUGGGAAUGGGCGAAAGCCUGACCCAGCAACGCCGCGUGAGCGAUGAAGGCCUUCGGGUUGUAAAGCUCUUUUGCAGGGGAAGAUGAUGACGGUACCCUGCGAAUAAGCCACGGCUAACUACGUGCCAGCAGCCGCGGUAAUACGUAGGUGGCAAGCGUUGUCCGGAUUUACUGGGCGUAAAGGGCGUGCAGGCGGUCUGUUAAGUCUAGGGUGAAAGCUCCCGGCUCAACUGGGAGAGGUCCUUGGAUACUGGCGGACUUGAGGGAGGCAGAGGAAAGUGGAAUUCCCGGUGUAGUGGUGAUAUGCGUAGAUAUCGGGAGGAACACCAGUGGCGAAGGCGGCUUUCUGGGCCUUACCUGACGCUGAGACGCGAAAGCGUGGGGAGCGAACCGGAUUAGAUACCCCUGUAGUCC